UGUUUUAACAAGAGCGCUUGAUGUUCGCCUUUUGCGCGUGCUUGCCCAUAAAAUGGGCAUCCCAUGACUACAUGAUGGUGUGCUGAUAGCCAGAUAACACCUGCUCGCGCAACCUACGUCGAGCAUCCCCACUACAAAAAUUGCGCCAAGAAAUGGACGCAAACUUGGUCUUGGGAAUGCAUCAAGGAAUGAGCUGUAGCAGCAUGGAUGGGAGUGACGUGAGAGGUCUGCACCCAUCAAGCGCUGCCAGCCAUAUGGGCAUGAGUUGCGGUAGCAUGUCGCCUGGAGACGUGAGAGGGAUCCACCAGACAAACCAGCAUGCAAACCCAACUACAGCACUCGGUAUUGGUUGCAGCCCCAUGGGGAGUAGUGACAUGAGAACGCUGCAUCCUGUCAUUGACUCUGACCGAGGGAUAAGUGGAAACAGCUUACCUAACAGUAGCAGUGGCGGUAUGCACACAGCCAUAGAACGGGAAAAAGCAUCUGUCCACAGUGGCAGCACCACUGGGGGUGGCAGUGGCAGCAACCUUGGCAACCCUUCCCCAUCUGGUGAGAACAUGGGAAACUCUGCUGGAACUGUUGGAACUAACAGCAAUUCUCCCGAGAACUCUGCUGGUGCAUCUAAAGACGAGGAAGAGCGCAGUGGACCUCCACAGCCUUCAGCUAAUAAGACUGGCAAGGAACUCGUCUUGGCAGCUCCCCGUGAAAGCAAACGGCCCAACAUGAAAAAGAGGAUGGACUUGUCUUUGGCAGACAAGGUUAAGAUAGUCUACUCUCUCAAGGAGCCUGGAGCAAAACAUGGUGCCGUAGCGAAGCUCUACGGUGUUGCACGGUCUACUGUUUGCAAAAUAAGCCAGAAGUCUGAAGAAAUCCUACUCCAGUUUGAAACAGACAGCAAUCAUGAUCGAAAACGGCGGCGUGAAGGCAAGGAGCGCCAGGUAGGAGAAGAACUGUAUACAUGGUUUCAGAACCAGGUUGCUCAAGGGUCUCGCCUGUCGGGCAAUGACAUAAAGGAAAAAGCACGCUUACUGGCUGCCCAGAAAGGCCAUCAUUUUGAGCCAUCUGAUGGCUGGCUCAGCCGUUGGAAACAGCGCCAUGGAUUGUCAACACCACGAAAGGAAUCCUCGGGCUCCCAGCACCACUCUUCCCAGUUGAGUGGCCGUACCCAGCUGAUCGCUGCCAGCAGGAGUUGGUCAAAGACAAGAAGGCAACUGAGCGCAUCACACUUCUGAUUUGUGCUAAUCUGACUGGAACAGAAAAGAGGCCAUUGCUACUAGUUGGAGACAGUGGAGCAUCGCGGUCCUUUCCAGACGACCCUUCACGGCUGCCACUCAUUUAUUGUCUUCCUCCAAAAGAAAAUGAACAAGCUUGAUGAUUGGAAUCCAUGUCAGUGUAAGAAUGAUAUUCAUUUGUUUAUCAAAUGAUGAUGAUGGAAUAAGGGAGUUGCUUACCUGGUACAACGAACAAAUUGAAAGGAGUUUUCGAUAGUGUGGCAAUGCAUAAGGUGAAGAGCAAGAAGUAGGUUGAAUGUAUUGGAACUAUUAGGGUCAUGUAAACAACAGAUCUAUUGCAUUGUGACACUGCAACAUGUGUAUUGAGGAAGAGAAAUAAAAGUGCAUUGUGGAUGUUUGUUCCUGCAUUCAGCUUCGGUUGAGUAAAAGAAACUUUCCUAAA
This is an unclassified non-coding RNA of Rhipicephalus microplus (southern cattle tick), 1674 nucleotides long. The record is from RefSeq and is a predicted model, not a curated record. NCBI's taxonomy places the organism in Eukaryota, Metazoa, Arthropoda, Arachnida, Ixodida, Ixodidae.